UGGUGGCGAGUGGCGCACGGGUGCGUAACGCGUAUGCAAUCUACCUGUAACUGGGGAAUAGCCUUCCGAAAGGAAGAUUAACACCGCAUAAAAUCACGAGACGGCAUCGCCUUGUGAUCAAAUCUCCGGAGGUUACAGAUGAGCAUGCGUGACAUUAGCUAGUUGGUGAGGUAACGGCCCACCAAGGCGACGAUGUCUAGGGGGUCUGAGAGGAUGAUCCCCCACACUGGUACUGAGACACGGACCAGACUCCUACGGGAGGCAGCAGUAAGGAAUAUUGGACAAUGGGCGCAAGCCUGAUCCAGCCAUGCCGCGUGCAGGAUGAAGGUGCUCUGCAUUGUAAACUGCUUUUGUUUGGGAAUAAACCCUUCUACGUGUAGAGGGCUGAAUGUACCAAAAGAAUAAGGGACGGCUAACUUCGUGCCAGCAGCCGCGGUAAUACGAAGGUCCCGAGCGUUAUCCGGAUUUAUUGGGUUUAAAGGGUGCGUAGGCGGGCUAUUAAGUCAGUGGUGAAAGCCUACAGCUUAACUGUAGAAUGGCCAUUGAUACUGAUAGUCUUGAGUAUGAUUGAGGUGGGCGGAAUGUGUCAUGUAGCGGUGAAAUGCUUAGAUAUGACACAGAACACCGAUUGCGAAGGCAGCUCACUAAGCCAUAACUGACGCUGAUGCACGAAAGCGUGGGGAGCAAACAGGAUUAGAUACCCUGGUAGUCC
Molecule: ribosomal RNA, 712 nt
Filed under: uncultured bacterium
Lineage: Bacteria
Description: bacterial SSU rRNA
Rfam family: Bacterial small subunit ribosomal RNA
Source: RNAcentral